UGAGGAAAGAGGGCCGGUAUGGAUGACAUCCUCAAUGACCUUACCUCAUGGCGGCCCUUUUGACAAAGAGGUUAUGGUGGCUCUUCAGGAUGGUGCACUGGAUACUGAUAGUCUGAUGCACGUUGUGAACCACUUGGAAAGAUAUACAUACACAUCGACUGGACGGCCAGAGCAGCAGCUAGACAUGUAUUGAGGACUUGGGAGCAUUUGGUCCCGCUUACAGGUAGUAUGGAAUGAUACAUCGACUUUGAGCAUUUCUUGUGUGCCAUCUCUACAUUUUAUGAAGAAAAUAGCAGGUACAUGUUCUGGUUUCAUGUCUGAAUGCUAGAACAAAUCUAGAAGAGACUGUCUCUGAAUGUGAGCAGCAAAUAAAUAACUUGAGAUGGUGUCUGAAUGUGAGAACACAUAGGUCUGGCACACAUAAGUGAGCCUGACAGACUGGUACAAUCGGCUGGAUACUUGAUUUUGCUCUUCAUAGUGCAUCUAGUAAACUUUGAAGGA
This is a long non-coding RNA of Lolium rigidum, 501 nucleotides long. RefSeq lists it as uncharacterized. Lineage: Eukaryota; Viridiplantae; Streptophyta; Magnoliopsida; Poales; Poaceae. The transcript has 5 exons. The record is from RefSeq and is a predicted model, not a curated record.